ACGAGAGGCCCCAGUUGAUACAUUCGGCGUAAAGAGUGGUUAUGGGGACAUAACACUAAAGCCAAAGACCCCUCAAGCAGUCAUACGCACUCAGGAGUUCGAAGCACCAGCACGAAAGUCGCUUUACUUUACUCACCAGAACCCACGACAGCCGGGAGACAAACUGGGAUUAGAUACCCCACUAUGCCCCGCCGUAAACUUUGAUGCAUAAAUACAACAAACAUCCGCCAGGGGACUACGAGCGUCAGCUUAAAACCCAAAGGACUUGGCGGUGCUUCAAACCCCCCUAGAGGAGCCUGUUCUAGAACCGAUAAUCCCCGUUCAACCUCACCAUUUCUAGCUUUUCCCGCCUAUAUACCGCCGUCGCCAGCUUACCCUGUGAAGGUAUUACAGUAAGCAAAACAGGCACACCCUAAAACGUCAGGUCGAGGUGUAGCGCACGAAAUGGAAAGAAAUGGGCUACAUUAUCUGAAACAGAUUACCAACAAACGGUCUCCUGAAAUAAAGACCCGAAGGUGGAUUUAGCAGUAAAGAGAGAAUAGAGCGCCCUCUUGAAGCCGGCCCUGAAGCGCGCACACACCGCCCGUCACUCUCCCCGACAAUCAACCUUAACCCAAGUACUUCAACAAAACAAUAACAGCAAGGGGAGGCAAGUCGU
RNAcentral lists this ribosomal RNA (658 nucleotides) under Ilisha elongata (elongate ilisha). Its description in RNAcentral is "partial 12S ribosomal RNA". It matches the Rfam family "Bacterial small subunit ribosomal RNA", at positions 525 to 1489 of the family's 1533-position model. The record is from RNAcentral. Lineage: Eukaryota; Metazoa; Chordata; Actinopteri; Clupeiformes; Pristigasteridae.